This 11668-nucleotide long non-coding RNA is filed under the name Brassica napus (rape). Its description in RNAcentral is "long non-coding RNA (BNAP_LNC022754)". Lineage: Eukaryota; Viridiplantae; Streptophyta; Magnoliopsida; Brassicales; Brassicaceae. The record is from RNAcentral.
GGGGAUGUCUGAAAGUAUCAAGGUUAUUGUCUCUCUCUUUCUUGUGGUGUUAUUGGCUCUUGCAGCAACUCAGACAGAGUCAAGAUACAUAAAUUAUCAUGCCCUUCAUGGAGAUCACAGUUUGAUUUGUGAUAAAGCGAACCCAAGCACCUGCAAGAAGGAAGAAGCCAAUCCUUAUACCAGAGGAUGCGAGAUAAUCGAUCGUUGUCGUGGUCAAUCUCUAGGCCCAAAAAUGUGAAUCGACCAAGUAGAGUACCACCCUUGGUUAAUUUUACAAAUGAUAUCUCCAUUUAAAUAUUAGAUGAUUAAUUUCAUUCAUUAUUUAUUUAUACUCUGUAUUGGUUUGUAACUGAUUGUUACCCUAUCAUUUAUGAUCAUAUAAAACAAAUAUAUUUAUGUUAUCGUUUUAUGUUAGAAUAAAUGUUUAAUUUAUUCAAAAGAAAACAAACUUUUUUACCCAAGUGCCACUAAGUUUUCUAAAAAAUUAUCCACAAGCUUAAACCAGCUGCGUUCUUGAAAUCUCUCAUUUGAUAAAAGGAGAGACACCGAUUGCGAACAAGUUUCUCCAAAGAUUUGGCAAGAGAUGUCACUGUCGUAAGAGCUGCUCCUUGUCUUCUAUCGUUACGUUCUUUCCAUAGUACAUGAACUGAAGCUUGUAAUACAUACCGAGUGAGAAAACGUUGGAGAAAACUGUGUCUUUUAUCUAAGGAACAUAAUCCUCUUGUUUUCUGAUAUUCUCCCAUGUUCUUUUAGUACUGAAAACUGGUUUGUAUUUUUCCUCCUUGUAAUUCCAGAGAGAUUGAUCCUCCACAACUGAAAUUUAUCCCUUUGGUCAUCUAUAAGUGUUUCCAUCUCAUUAAAACGAUCCACUCGAUGCCUUCGUCUUCUUUGAUUAGGAACAGCCAUUGCAACAGUGGAUUUUAAAGGAAUUACCAUGUCAAUACAUUCCCACGCCCCGAACAGAUCAUACAGCCUUCCCAUUGUCGUCCACGAAUCAAGCCAGAUUGAGUCAUUCCUUCCAUCUCCAACUUUCAUCCUGUGAAACUAGUUUUUCAUAUCUCGGAACUUCAAUAAUUUUUGCCACAUCCAAGAUCCCACAGUUGUUGUUUCUCAAACAGACCAUAGGUAACCACGUUUUAGCAGGUAUACUUUAAUACAUUGAAACCAAAGGGACGAUGUCGGAGCAACAAUACGCCAAACCAACUAUAAACAACAUAGCUUGUUUAUUUCUUUUAAAGAACGUAGACCUACACCAAGCUCCACUAAGUUUUUUUUUUAAAAUUAUCCACAAGCUUAAACCAGAUACGUAAUUGAAAUCUCCCGUUUGACGAAAGGAGAGACACCGAUUGCGAACAAGUUUAUUCAAAGAUUUGGCAAGAGAUGUCGCUGUCAUAGGAGCUGCUCCAUGUUUUCUAUCAUUAUGUUCUUUCCAGAGCACAUGAACUGAAACUUGUAAUACAUACCGAGUGAGAAAACGUUGGGGAAAACUGUGUCUGCUAUCCAUGAAACAUAAUGCUCCUGUUUUCUGAUAAUAUCCCAUGUUCUUUUAGUUCUGAAUACUGUUUUGUAUUUGUCCCCCUUGUAUUUCCAGUGAGAUUGAUCCUCCACAACUGAAAUUUAUCCCUUUGAGCAUCUAUAAGUGUUUUCACCUCAUUAAAACGAUCCACAUGAUGCCUUCGUCUUCUUCGAUUAGCAACAGCCUUUGCGACAGUGAAUUUUAAAGGAAUUCCUAUACAAAGCUAUUCCCGCGCCAGUGGAAUUUAAAGGAUUUUGAUAUAGUUUAAUUGUUGAUUUUAAAUGAUAUCUCAAUUAUUUGGGCGAUUGUAACUAUUUAUUGUUGUUUUGAAUAUUUUUAUAUAUAGUAAUUAAUAAAAAUAUUAUUUAUUUAUUUUAAAAUUAGUUAAAUAAAAACAUAUACCCCCAGUUAAAUAAAAAACUGGCUCCACCACUGAUUGAACCUUGCUACCCAAAUAUGUGUUGGAUCCUUUUCCGGAUAUAGCUUCGAUCCGAACAUCAGUCAUGUCAUCCUCCUCCUCGCUAGGGGCGUAUUUGGAAAGAGAAAAAUGAAAUAUAGGGUUUGAGCCCCAUUUUUAAAGGUCUGCUUUUAAAAGGUUAUGUAGUUAACUUUUUUUAAAAACAUUUUACCAUUUCAUGCAAAGGAAAGAAGUGUGAUCCAAGAAUGAGAAAAUGAUAAUAAUAAUAAUAAAACAUAAUUAAAGUAGGACCUACAAUUAACAUAAAAAAAGAAAAAAAUAUUAUAUUUACAUAGACUUUUUAACUUUGUCUUUUCCUCUUUCUCCAUGACUCUUAAGCUUUUUCUGGUCUAUAAUAUUUGGGUAGGCUCCCAUUUUUUUCUUGCUUAUGGCCUCACUUUUUGCAGAGAUCCCCCUACUCACCGCCUUCCGGAACGCCUUUAAAAGUUGUUUUUCGACCUUUAAUCUUGAACAAGGAAAGCUAAUUAUAUCUGUCAUUGCUAAAGAUCCCUUAAUUUUAAGAAAACAUCAACCAGCUGAUCUAUAUACUAAAAGUAUCCGUUUACUAAAAAUUACAUGUUUACUAAUUUAUCACCAUCCCAAAAAUAACUAUUUGAAGCACAUCCACUAUCUUCUAUAUAAGUACCAAUAACCUCUUCUUCAAAACCAAACAGAGCAGAUACCAAAUACAAUUAAAUAUAUAAACACAAAAUAAUUGAGCUCCUAGUCGGGGUUUCUCUUAUAAAUUAUUUAUUUAUUUAAUUUGUUUGGAAAAUAAAAAUAACAAAUAAUUAAUAAUAAUAUGGGGAUGUCUGAAAGUAUCAAGGUUAUUGUCUCUCUCUUUCUUGUGGUGUUAUUGGCUCUUGCAGCAACUCAGACAGAGUCAAGAUACAUAAAUUAUCAUGCCCUUCAUGGAGAUCACAGUUUGAUUUGUGAUAAAGCGAACCCAAGCACCUGCAAGAAGGAAGAAGCCAAUCCUUAUACCAGAGGAUGCGAGAUAAUCGAUCGUUGUCGUGGUCAAUCUCUAGGCCCAAAAAUGUGAAUCGACCAAGUAGAGUACCACCCUUGGUUAAUUUUACAAAUGAUAUCUCCAUUUAAUAUUAGAUGAUUAAUUUCAUUCAUUAUUUAUUUAUACUCUGUAUUGGUUUGUAACUGAUUGUUACCCUAUCAUUUAUGAUCAUAUAAAACAAAUAUAUUUAUGUUAUCGUUUUAUGUUAGAAUAAAUGUUUAAUUUAUUCAAAAGAAAACAAACUUUUUUACCCAAGUGCCACUAAGUUUUCUAAAAAAUUAUCCACAAGCUUAAACCAGCUGCGUUCUUGAAAUCUCUCAUUUGAUAAAAGGAGAGACACCGAUUGCGAACAAGUUUCUCCAAAGAUUUGGCAAGAGAUGUCACUGUCGUAAGAGCUGCUCCUUGUCUUCUAUCAUUACGUUCUUUCCAUAGUACAUGAACUGAAGCUUGUAAUACAUACCGAGUGAGAAAACGUUGAAGAAAACUGUGUCAUUUAUCUAAGGAACAUAAUCCUCAUGUUUUCUGAUAUUCUCCCAUGUUCUUUUAGUACUGAAAACUGGUUUGUAUUUUUCCUCCUUGUAAUUCCAGAGAUUGAUCCUCCACAACUGAAAUUUAUCCCUUUGGUCAUCUAUAAGUGUUUCCAUCUCAUUAAACGAUCCACUCGAUGCCUUCGUUUUUUUUUAUUAGGAACAGCCAUUGCAACAGUGGAUUUUAAAGGAAUUACCAAGUCAAUACAUUCCCACGCCCCGAACAGAUCGUACAGCCUUCCCAUUGUCGUCCACGAAUCAAGCCAGAUUGAGUCAUUCCUUCCAUCUCCAACUUUCAUCCUGUGAAACUAGUUUUUCAUAUCUCGGAACUUCAAUAAUUUUUGCCACAUCCAAGAUCCCACAGUUGUUGUUUCUCAAACAGACCAUAGGUAACCACGUUUUAGCAGGUAUACUUUAAUACAUUGAAACCAAAGGGACGAUGUCGGAGCAACAAUACGCCAAACCAACUAUAAACAACAUAGCUUGUUUAUUUCUUUUAAAGAACGUAGACCUACACCAAGCUCCACUAAGUUUUUUUUUUAAAAUUAUCCACAAGCUUAAACCAGAUACGUAAUUGAAAUCUCCCGUUUGACGAAAGGAGAGACACCGAUUGCGAACAAGUUUAUUCAAAGAUUUGGCAAGAGAUGUCGCUGUCAUAGGAGCUGCUCCAUGUUUUCUAUCAUUAUGUUCUUUCCAGAGCACAUAAACUGAAACUUGUAAUACAUACCGAGUGAGAAAACGUUGGGGAAAACUGUGUCUGCUAUCCAUGAAACAUAAUGCUCCUGUUUUCUGAUAAUAUCCCAUGUUCUUUUAGUUCUGAAUACUGUUUUGUAUUUGUCCCCCUUGUAUUUCCAGUGAGAUUGAUCCUCCACAACUGAAAUUUAUCCCUUUGGCAUCUAUAAGUGUUUACACCUCAUUAAAACGAUCCACAUGAUGCCUUCGUCUUCUUCGAUUAGUAACAGCCUUUGCGACAGUGAAUUUUAAGGGAAUUCCUAUACAAAGCUAUUCCCGCGCCAGUGGAAUUUAAAGGAUUUUGAUAUAGUUUAAUUGUUGAUUUUAAAUGAUAUCUCAAUUAUUUGGGCGAUUGUAACUAUUUAUUGUUGUUUUGAAUAUUUUUAUAUAUAGUAAUUAAUAAAAAUAUUAUUUAUUUAUUUUAAAAUUAGUUAAAUAAAAACAUAUACCCCCAGCUAAAUAAAAAACUGGCUCCACCACUGAUUGAACCUUGCUACCCAAAUAUGUGUUGGAUCCUUUUCCGGAUAUAGCUUCGAUCCGAACAUCAGUCAUGUCAUCCUCCUCCUCGCUAGGGGCGUAUUUGGAAAGAGAAAAAUGAAAUAUAGGGUUUGAGCCUCAUUUUUAAAGGUCUGCUUUUAAAAGGUUACGCUUGAUUUGUUUAUCAUGUUUUAAACAUGAUAGUAAAAAUGUAGAAUUAGUAUAACCAAUAAAAAUGUACAACUAAUAUAACUAAUAAUAUUGUACAACAUGUUCAACUAUAAAAUUAGUACAACUGUACAAUUAGUGUAAUUGUACAACUAUCCCAUUGUCGUCCACGAAUCAAGCCAGAUUGAGACAUUCCUUCCAUCUCCAACUUUCAUCCUGUGAAACUAGUUUUUCAUAUCUCGGAACUUCAAUAGACAAGCUUAAACCAGAUGCGUAAUUGAAAUCUCCCGUUUGACGAAAGGAGAGACACCGAUUGCGAACAAGUUUAUUCAAAGAUUUGGCAAGAGAUGUCGCUGUCAUAGGAGCUGCUCCAUGUUUUCUAUCAUUAUGUUCUUUCCAGAGCACAUGAACUGAAACUUGUAAUACAUACCGAGUGAGAAAACGUUGGGGAAAACUGUGUCUGCUAUCCAUGAAACAUAAUGCUCCUGUUUUCUGAUAAUAUCCCAUGUUCUUUUAGUUCUGAAUACUGUUUUGUAUUUGUCCCCCUUGUAUUUCCAGUGAGAUUGAUCCUCCACAACUGAAAUUUAUCCCUUUGGUCAUCUAUAAGUGUUUCCAUCUCAUUAAAACGAUCCACUCGAUGCCUUCGUCUUCUUUGAUUAGGAACAGCCAUUGCAACAGUGGAUUUUAAGGAAUUACCAUGUCAAUACAUUCCCACGCCCCGAACAGAUCAUACAGCCUUCCCAUUGUCGUCCACGAAUCAAGCCAGAUUGAGACAUUCCUUCCAUCUCCAACUUUCAUCCUGUGAAACUAGUUUUUCAUAUCUCGGAACUUCAAUAGUUUUUGCCACAUCCAAGAUCCCACAGUUGUUGUUUCUCAAACAGACCAUAGAUAGCCACGUUUUAGCAGGUAUACUUUAAUACAUUGAAACCAAAGGGACGAUGUAGGAGUAACAUUACGCCAAACCAACUAUAAACAACAUAGCUUGUUUAUUUCUUUUAAAGAACGUAGACCUACACCAAGCUCCACUAAGUUUUUUUUAAAAAAUUAUCCACAAGCUUAAACCAGAUACGUAAUUGAAAUCCCCCGUUUGACGAAAGGAGAGACACCGAUUGCGAACAAGUUUAUUCAAAGAUUUGGCAAGAGAUGUCGCUGUCAUAGGAGCUGCUCCAUGUUUUCUAUCAUUAUGUUCUUUCCAGAGCACAUGAACUGAAACUUGUAAUACAUACCGAGUGAGAAAACGUUGGGGAAAACUGUGUCUGCUAUCCAUGAAACAUAAUGCUCCUGUUUUCUGAUAAUAUCCCAUGUUCUUUUAGUUCUGAAUACUGUUUUGUAUUUGUCCCCCUUGUAUUUCCAGUGAGAUUGAUCCUCCACAACUGAAAUUUAUCCCUUUGGCCAUCUAUAAGUGUUUUCACCUCAUUAAAACGAUCCACAUGAUGCCUUCGUCUUCUUCGAUUAGCAACAGCCUUUGCGACAGUGAAUUUUAAAGGAAUUCCUAUACAAAGCUAUUCCCGCGCCAGUGGAAUUUAAAGGAUUUUGAUAUAGUUUAAUUGUUGAUUUUAAAUGAUAUCUCAAUUAUUUGGGCGAUUGUAACUAUUUAUUGUUGUUUUGAAUAUUUUUAUAUAUAGUAAUUAAUAAAAAUAUUAUUUAUUUAUUUUAAAAUUAGUUAAAUAAAAACUUAUACCCCCAGUUAAAUAAAAAGCUGGUUCCACCACUUGUUUAACCUUGCAACCCAGAUAUAUGUUGGAUCCUUUUCCGGAUAUAGCUUCGAUCCGAACAUCAGUCAUGUCAUCCUCCUCAUCGCUAGGAGCGUAUUUGGAAAGAGAAAAAUGAAAUAUAGGAUUUGAGUCCUCAUUUUUAAAGGCAUGCUUUUAAAAGGUUAUGUAGUUAAUUUUUGAGAAAAAGACAAAAAUAGCACUAAAUCAAGUUUUUGUUCACAAACUAACACUCAAGGUCAAAAGUCACAAAAAUAACACUUAAUGUUUUAUCAAAAGUCACAAACUUAGGGUUUAGAGUUAAAGGGUAGGGUUUAGGAUUUAGGGUUUAGGGUUUAGGGUUUAGAGUUUAGGGUUUAGGGUUUAGAGUUUAGGGUUUAGGAUUUAAAUUUUAGGGUUUAGGGUUUAGAGUUUAGGGUUUAGGGUUUAGAGUUUAGAAUUUAGGGUUUAGGGUUUAGAGUUUAGGGUUUAGGGUUUAGGGUUUAGGGUUUAAGGUUUAGGGUUUAGAGUUUAGGGUUUAGGGUUUAGAGUUGAGAAAUGAGGUUUUGGGGAUAAAAUUUCAAAUUUUGAAAAAUAAAAAAAUUAAAAUUUUCUAAGGAUAAACUUAGAAAGGUGUUAUUUUGGUCAUUUUAGUUUUUGAGUGCUAUUUUUGUGAUAUAAAAUUAGAAAGUUGUUUGCCUAAAAAUUUUUUAAAAACAUUUUACCAUUUCAUGUAAAAAAAAACAAGUGCCAACCAAAAAUGAGAAAAUGAUAAUCAACACGAUAAUAGAGCAAGCUUCUCUCCUGCAAUUGACACAUAAGUAUUUUAGAUUCGGAGUGACAUGUCUUUAACUGAAAAAAUGGAUUGAUCAAUGAAAACAUUUGGUUUCUCCACAUCAUUGGAAUUGUGUUUGCACAUUCUUCUUCGUUCAUUCACCCUUACAAUCUUUGAGUUCUCUGAAGUUUGCAAAAGAAAAGUGAAAAUCAGAUGAAUUACUGCAAUCAGAUCAGUUUUCAUUGCAGAUCUGCUCUCUCAUGCCCUAACCGCCGCGUUUCUCUCUGUCAAGCAGAUCGACUCGAGCCUAGAGCCGAAUUGAGAGAUGGGUACCACCGCCUUUCUCACCAUGAAUAAAGAUCGAGUGGAGCCAAGAGUUGAAUUGCGAGCUGGGUUUUAGUUUGGUUGUGUCUCUGAGAUUUUAUUAGAAUUGUUAUCAGACUAAGAGGGAAAUCUAGAUCAUGAAAUUGGUUCGUCAUGUUGUUCGUUUUAAGUCUUAUUCUUUCCUCUACUUUAUACUGAGAAGUUUAUAUCUAUCUUCAUAUGCAAGUUGAUUCUUUGUUGUUUAGGUUCUAGCAUGCCGUACAAAUAUUUAAAUCAUCUUGGAGUAUAUUUCAGGUGGUGAACUGUUUAAUAAAAUUGUGAAUUAUCUUAGUUCUCGACUCAACUACUUCAGGUGAUGAUGAUCUUUGGAAGACAAUGUUUAUCAGUUGUUACAUGUUAUAGGUUCGUAAUGAAAGUCUUAGUGAAUCAGAAGCUAGGAAGUACUUUCACUAGCUUACCGAUGGAGUUGAUAGUAAAUGGGGUUUACCACAGAGAUCUAAAGGUAGUUUCUUUUGCUGACAAUCAACAAUCUUUUCAAACGAAAUCUGAUUUUGAUUGUUUCUACUGUCAAUUGCAGCCUAAAAAUCUUCUGCUACACUCUCAAGGAAAUCUCAAAAUAUCUGAUUUUGGGCUCAGUGCAUUACCAGAACAAGUAAUGGUGGUUCUCAGUUUAUUGUUUUGCUUUUUCAGAUUGAAUUUUUAUCAACUAAUUAUCUUACUUGUAUCUCAAGGGAGUUACCAUUCUAAAGACAACUUGUGGAACUCCAAAUUACGAUGCUCGUUAGGUAAGUCAAAUAUCACAAUGUUUUGAAAUAUAGUGAUGCUUAUUUGUUGUAGCUCAUAUGAUCUUCUCUGUUUUGGUUUAGAUUUUGAGUCAUAUGGGUUACAAAUGUGUUGUGUCAGAUGUAUGGUCCUAUGGGGUAAUCAUGUUCUGAGUCAUAAGGGUUACAAAUGAGCCUUAUGAUGAGAGAACGCCUCAUGUUCCAGAUCCUAUAUCGCAGGUUUGUAUGUUGUGUUUUAACUCAAGGAAGGAUACAUAUAUAUAUUCCUAAACACUGUUUUUUUUUUGUUUUUUCCUUGGAUUGUUUCACUGAUACUUACGUACCUGUUAGGACCAAUAAUAGCUUGAAGAUGGGGCUGAUGGUUACCUUCAGUCCAAAUUUUAUAAGUGAAGGUAAGAUGAGAAAUGAAGCUGUUGCAGACCAAAUCUAGAGGGAGUAUGUGCAUUUAAAUAGCAAAUGGUUACUGUUUUUUACCGCAUUGAACAGAUCAAGCAAGUUGCAUGGGCUAUAUCCCAAUUUAGAGGGAAGAGUAACACACACGUGCAUAACGUGUUAUUGGGGAGUUAUUGGGGAAAGCCAGCUGAUUCUAGAAUAUUGAGUGCCAAGCAACUGUUGGAGCUGUGUGAGACGAAUAAGAUUCCAUGCAUUCUGCUACCGAGAGAGGUAGAUAUGUCUUCCACUACAGCUGAAAAACACGUUUGUACCUUUGUACUUCUUAAUGUCAUGUGUUCCUCUUGGUUAAAAUAACUUUUUGGCUUUCUUAUAGAAGCAUGAUGAUUGGUGAUUUGGGUUUUGGGUUUCUUAAAUUUUUCUUUUUUUUCUUUUUGUCUGAUUAAAAAAAAAAAAAAUUAAAACGAAUCAAUCGCAGGCCGCCACGUGUCAGUGGGGUCCGCAAACAGUACAAUAACCCAAGUAAAGUCGACUAUUGUUUGGUGACUUCUCUCACCGGUUUUUGUGUGUUUUGUGGGUCCCCUUCCUGUAAGAAACUCCUAAACCCCCCCCCCCUCCCGAUAAACAUGGUCUAACUUUGUUAGUUUGGGAAAUUGUAAAAAACAAAUUAAAUUUUGAUAUAUAUCAAAUAUUCAAAUAGGCAAAUUUGUGUUCAAAAAAAUAUGUAAUCUUUUUAAACAAGAGGAUCUCAUUUUUAUCCCUUUGUGAAGAUUCCAGCAUCCAGUGAUGGUGAAGAGCGGCAGCUCUGACGUCGCUCUCCUCCACGUCUCGGUUCCGCUACAUAAUACCAACAAGAGUAAAGAUGAGAUGACUCUAUCACUCUAUGGACAACAGUGGUGGUGACGAUCGGAGACGAACACAGCGUCUUUUUUGCAUACAUGAACGGAGAGGAGGAUUUGAGGGACGAAAUCAUUUUACAAAAUAUAUUAUUUUAACAAAGGCUAAUUAUUUUACUACAAUAUUGAAUUUUAAAUUUGAAGUGAAGUGAAGGACAUUUACUACAAUGUUGAAUUUUAAAUUUGGUGAACCAGAAAAGCGUAGGAAAAGAAAUGAAUUGGACUUUUUUAUCCUUAACCUUAAACUCAAUUGAAAAAUAAAUAAAUAAUAAAGUAUAAGUAUAAAAUUGAUGUAAACAAAAAUUUAGCGUAUAUCAUUUAGUAAGAAGGAUAGAAUACGAAAUCAAAAUAAAGAUCAAAUACAUAAGUCUGGUUAUAAGGUGGCUGUCAAAAAAAAAUUAAGAAAAUGCUUAAGUUCUCUUUAUUGUUUUUAAUUAGAACUCUACAUUAUUUUUUUAUUUGAUCGAUACAAAAAGUAAAAAUAAGGAUUAAACUGAUUUUUUAAUAUAUAAAAAUGUAAAACUGAUAUUUUUAUUGAAACAAAAUUUAAAUACGAAAUACUUUUAUGGAAUGGAAAGAGGAUAGUAUUAGAGUCUUUUAGACCACAAACUGGAACCUAAAACCCAAAAAAAACAAUGAGAUUUUACACCACCAACUCGAGAGCAAAGGUGCGGAAAAAUUAACUUGGAAGCUAAUUUGUUAAAAAUUAGUAUCAAAUAAAUAAUUAUUAUACAAUAACCAAAAAAAAAAAAAUACAAGACAUGUCUAGAUUAUAAAUAUUUAGAUACAAAACUUAUAUUAAUAUAAUUAUUCAUUUAUAAAAUGAAAAUAUUUUAUAAAAUAAAAAAAUCCCGCAGCGUAGUGCGGAUAAUUACCUAGUAAUAAUAAAAUAUAACUAAAGUAGGACCUAUAAUUAACAUAAAAAAAAAGAGAAAAAAUAUUAUAUACAUAGACUUUUUCAACUUUGUCUUUUCCUCUUUCUCUAUGACUCUUAAGCUUUUUCUGGUCUAUAAUAUUUGGGUAGGCCCCCAUUUUUUUCUUGCUUAUGGUCUCACUUAUUGCAGAGAUCCCCCUACUCACCGCCUUCCGGAACGCCUUUAAAAGUUGUUUUUCGACCUUUAAUCUUGAACAAGGAAAGCUAAUUAUAUCUGUCAUUGCUAAAGAUCCCUUAAUUUUAAGAAAACAUCAACCUGCUGAUCUAUAUACUAAAAGUAUCCGUUUACUAAAAAUUACAUGUUUACUAAUUUAUCACCAUCCCAAAAAUAACUAUUUGAAGCACAUCCACUAUCUUCUAUAUAAGUACCAAUAACCUCUUCUUCAAAACCAAACAGAGCAGAUACCAAAUACAAUUAAAUAUAUAAACACAAAAUAAUUGAGCUCCUAGUCGGGGUUUCUCUUAUAAACUAUUUAUUUAUUUAAUUUGUUUGGAAAAUAAAAAUAACAAAUAAUUAAUAAUAAUAUGGGGAUGUCUGAAAGUAUCAAGGUUAUUGUCUCUCUCUUUCUUGUGGUGUUAUUGGCUCUUGCAGCAACUCAGACAGAGUCAAGAUACAUAAAUUAUCAUGCCCUUCAUGGAGAUCACAGUUUGAUUUGUGAUAAAGCGAACCCAAGCACCUGCAAGAAGGAAGAAGCCAAUCCUUAUACCAGAGGAUGCGAGAUAAUCGAUCGUUGUCGUGGUCAAUCUCUAGGCCCAAAAAUGUGAAUCGACCAAGUAGAGUACCACCCUUGGUUAAUUUUACAAAUGAUAUCUCCAUUUAAUAUUAGAUGAUUAAUUUCAUUCAUUAUUUAUUUAUACUCUGUAUUGGUUUGUAAUUGAUUGUUACCCUAUCAUUUAUGAUCAUAUAAAACAAAUAUAUUUAUGUUAUCUUUUUAUUUUUGAAUAUAUGUUUAAUUUAUUCAAAAGAAAACAAACUUUUUUACCCAAGUG